This 1372-nucleotide ribosomal RNA is filed under the name uncultured bacterium. Its description in RNAcentral is "bacterial SSU rRNA". It matches the Rfam family "Bacterial small subunit ribosomal RNA", at positions 28 to 1381 of the family's 1533-position model. The record is from RNAcentral.
GAUGAACGCUGGCGGCGUGCCUAAUACAUGCAAGUCGAGCGAACGGACGAGAAGCUUGCUUCUCUGAUGUUAGCGGCGGACGGGUGAGUAACACGUGGAUAACCUACCUAUAAGACUGGGAUAACUUCGGGAAACCGGAGCUAAUACCGGAUAAUAUUUUGAACCGCAUGGUUCAAAAGUGAAAGACGGUCUUGCUGUCACUUAUAGAUGGAUCCGCGCUGCAUUAGCUAGUUGGUAAGGUAACGGCUUACCAAGGCAACGAUGCAUAGCCGACCUGAGAGGGUGAUCGACCACACUGGAACUGAGACACGGUCCAGACUCCUACGGGAGGCAGCAGUAGGGAAUCUUCCGCAAUGGGCGAAAGCCUGACGGAGCAACGCCGCGUGAGUGAUGAAGGUCUUCGGAUCGUAAAACUCUGUUAUUAGGGAAGAACAUAUGUGUAAGUAACUGUGCACAUCUUGACGGUACCUAAUCAGAAAGCCACGGCUAACUACGUGCCAGCAGCCGCGGUAAUACGUAGGUGGCAAGCGUUAUCCGGAAUUAUUGGGCGUAAAGCGCGCGUAGGCGGUUUUUUAAGUCUGAUGUGAAAGCCCACGGCUCAACCGUGGAGGGUCAUUGGAAACUGGAAAACUUGAGUGCAGAAGAGGAAAGUGGAAUUCCAUGUGUAGCGGUGAAAUGCGCAGAGAUAUGGAGGAACACCAGUGGCGAAGGCGACUUUCUGGUCUGUAACUGACGCUGAUGUGCGAAAGCGUGGGGAUCAAACAGGAUUAGAUACCCUGGUAGUCCACGCCGUAAACGAUGAGUGCUAAGUGUUAGGGGGUUUCCGCCCCUUAGUGCUGCAGCUAACGCAUUAAGCACUCCGCCUGGGGAGUACGACCGCAAGGUUGAAACUCAAAGGAAUUGACGGGGACCCGCACAAGCGGUGGAGCAUGUGGUUUAAUUCGAAGCAACGCGAAGAACCUUACCAAAUCUUGACAUCCUUUGACAACUCUAGAGAUAGAGCCUUCCCCUUCGGGGGACAAAGUGACAGGUGGUGCAUGGUUGUCGUCAGCUCGUGUCGUGAGAUGUUGGGUUAAGUCCCGCAACGAGCGCAACCCUUAAGCUUAGUUGCCAUCAUUAAGUUGGGCACUCUAAGUUGACUGCCGGUGACAAACCGGAGGAAGGUGGGGAUGACGUCAAAUCAUCAUGCCCCUUAUGAUUUGGGCUACACACGUGCUACAAUGGACAAUACAAAGGGCAGCGAAACCGCGAGGUCAAGCAAAUCCCAUAAAGUUGUUCUCAGUUCGGAUUGUAGUCUGCAACUCGACUACAUGAAGCUGGAAUCGCUAGUAAUCGUAGAUCAGCAUGCUACGGUGAAUACGUUCCCAGGUCU